AUGCAAGGGAGCAAAGCUGUCUGCAAAAGGGGUUCCUUAUGGGACCUUUCACAAUAGUGUGCAUGCACACACACUCACACACUUGCAUGCUCACACAUACACUCAGUCAGACCUGACCUCGAGAUUCAAGGACACACGCACACACUCACAUCCUCAUUUUGUCAUUUACACGCCCAGACACACACCUGCUCAAACUGGUUUAUACACUCAGUAAUGACGCUGCCCCCCACCCGGGCACCAGCACACACAGACUCCUACUUACUCACACCCAUACACAAACAUGUACAUGUACACACACUCACUGGCUUUCUUAAAGCCCUACUUUCACUCACUCAUCCUUAGGCACGCAGUCCCCUCAUGCACCCCAGACACACCUCCUGGGACACAUCACCUUCCUGCAGGCCGAGCCCCAGGGAGCCGCCGUCGGCUGUGUUUUGAGGAGUGGGGACAGAAUGUUUGCUCCUGACCCCAGUUUACCCUGAAUCUUGACUCUGACCUAGGACAGCCUCAAAGCCGCCUGACAUGGGCCAACUGGGGAGGGCCUGCUCCGUGAGCAGCGGGUGCAUGUUGCUCACAUCAGCCCUGAGUGUGCUGCCUCGGGGCACGUCUGCCUGGCUCAUCAGUGCCCAGGGCACCCGCCCACUUCCUCCCAAUCCGAAGGCAGGCCAGCCCCGAUGACAUCAGGCGGUCUCUGGGCCUGCCUGGCACCCAGCACAGAGGAAGGAAGCAAGCUGCCUCGGCUGUGUGGCCGACUGAGGAGCCCAGGACUUGCCAGGGGCUCUGUGACCCAGGUCCACUGUGGCUGAGCUGCCUGUCCCCAAACCCACAGGGGCACUGUGUGACAUGGACUGGUUUUCAUACCCAGAAAUGACCAUCACAGUGACUCAUAUUUCCUGAGCACCUACUGUGUGCCAAGCACGGCUCCAGCUCAUCAUGACUCUUCAUUAAUCUUCAAACCAACUCUAUGGUAACCCUAUACAUCAUCCUAGGUGUACAUAUAAAGACACAUAGAAAGGUUAGGGGACUAGCUCAAAGAACAUGAUUUGACCCCGGUGAUCUGGCUCCAGACCCCUACCCUCAAUCACCCCCUCUGCAGCUUGUUGGUUUGUGGCUUGUUUUGGUGAGUCUCUGAUAGUUUUGACCUCUGCACCUCUCACCUCUCUGAAUCCUGGCAACAAUCUCAGGAGCAGGGUGCCAGGUUUAGGCCUGCUUAACAGUGAGGAAAUGACCCGUCUGAGACAGACAGCAAGGAAGCGGCAGAGCUGUUUGUCCCCGGGUCCCAGGGCCCUUUCUGCGAUGCCUGGUCUUCUCCCUCCCGGGCCAGAGGUGCUGGCAGGACCGGAGACGGGGAAAGAGAGCGGUGGGCCUUUGGUGGCCAUAGAGCAGUCAGAAACGUAAUCAGACAUUUAUGUCAACAAAACAACAAACAUUUUGCUUCUUAAAACAAGUGGGAAACAGCGAGCAUACAAGAGAAUACACAGCCUCACAACAAGCUUGCAAAGCAGAUGCUGUUGAAUUCCAUUUCACAGACGAAGAAACCGAGGCCUUCAAUACCAUCCCGGCGCUCGAAAUUUCCAACGCACAUCGCCUGCCAGGAGUCUCACCUGAAUGCAGGGUUGAAUAUCCAGCUGUGGCUCGACACGCCAAAUGGGCAACUCAGAGUUCCAGCCGUCUGGCCCGGAAUCAGCGGCGGUUCCAUCAGCGGGGAGGUGAAAAUGAAACUGUGUUCCCAGCCCCGGAAAGCAAUCUGCUAUUCAGCAGGAAGAGAUCAAAGGUUAAUGACAUGGAGUUGGGCAAAGGCUGCCGCUGAGGCUCUGAGCAUUAUCAGGAGGCGGGAACAAAGGAUGGUUGUUAAAUGUAAUUCAUGAAACUGCUUGCCAGAACAUUAGGCACAUCCUUCGAAAGCACAAGGGAACUUAAAAAAAGAAAGAAAGA
Long non-coding RNA from Pipistrellus kuhlii (Kuhl's pipistrelle), 1935 nucleotides. RefSeq lists it as uncharacterized. The record is from RefSeq and is a predicted model, not a curated record. The transcript has 2 exons. Lineage: Eukaryota; Metazoa; Chordata; Mammalia; Chiroptera; Vespertilionidae.